This is a long non-coding RNA of Mobula hypostoma (lesser devil ray), 341 nucleotides long. RefSeq lists it as uncharacterized. NCBI's taxonomy places the organism in Eukaryota, Metazoa, Chordata, Chondrichthyes, Myliobatiformes, Myliobatidae. The record is from RefSeq and is a predicted model, not a curated record. The transcript has 3 exons.
GUCAGGUUUAAUAUCUCUGGAAUACGUCGUGAAGUUUAUAGCCUUUGCAGCAGCAGUACAAUGCAAUAGAAGAAAUCCAUGAAUUACAAUGCUGCCUGGCCCGCUGAGUUCCUCCAGCAUUUUGUGUGUGUCACUUGGAUUUCCAGCAUCUGCAGAUUUUCUCUUGUCUGUAGACAGACACAUGAACUAGCAUGGCAUGGAGCGACAAUGGUUCAAAGGAACAUCUAAACAAGCCUGAUGCAUGUUGGAAACAAGUCCUGUGGACUGAUGAAGUUAAAAUAGAACUUUUUGGCUGCAAUGAGCAAAGGUAUGUUUGGAGAAAAAAAGGGUGCAGAAUUUCA